GUCGGGCGGAUAGGAGGGGUCGGGCGAGCCGGACUGGGGUCGGCAACUCACCUUCUUCCUGAAAGGAAAGCUUGGGGUCGGGAAGAAGCAGACUUGGGCGGAGGGACUAAAGCUUCGAACAAGGGCUAAGACUGGGAAUGCUACGGCGGCGGCGGUGCUUCUUGCAGAUCACAAGAGAGCUUUUACGCAGCACGGAGGAGCAAGCUGCGGGGUGACUUGGAGAAAACUGAGAGAGAGUCUGAGAGAAGAACUCCUCAAGAACUUGGUGGGUGGCGCUAGGAGCUUGAGCAGGGA
RNAcentral lists this long non-coding RNA (294 nucleotides) under Setaria viridis. Its description in RNAcentral is "long non-coding RNA (SVIR_LNC008201)". The record is from RNAcentral. Lineage: Eukaryota; Viridiplantae; Streptophyta; Magnoliopsida; Poales; Poaceae.